Long non-coding RNA from Sander lucioperca (pikeperch), 518 nucleotides. RefSeq lists it as uncharacterized. NCBI's taxonomy places the organism in Eukaryota, Metazoa, Chordata, Actinopteri, Perciformes, Percidae. The transcript is spliced from 2 exons. The record is from RefSeq and is a predicted model, not a curated record.
AGAUGAUUCAUCCAAUCACAAGCAUUUUUAUGAAAGUGCCUGCCCUUUCCCAAACAGUUUCCAAUGACGAUUUCUGAUCAGGUUAGCAGAGGCUCCCUGCUGCAUAAAACAAGCGCCUCCACCACCACAUGAGUAGCAUCAGACACCCAUCCAGGCUGCUAACGGCUGCGCCCCUCUCAUGUCUCCUCUUUAUGUCAAGAUGGAGGUGAAAAUGAACUGGAGCAGGGGAAUAGGAGUUUUGAUUCCAGUAUAUAUGUUGUUUUAACUGAUGACUAACAAUUAAUGCAUGUUAAUAGCAUGUGGAAGCUUGGAGAACACAGUUUUUCUUGCGGUAGAGUUCAGGGCUGAAAGUGCAAAUAAGCUUUAAUCCAAUCCAUUAGAUCCAUCCAAAUAUUUUUAUUGGUUGAACUAGGACCAUACAUCUUUCAUGGAUUUAAUGGGGCAUGGUACAAGCAAGGUCCAAGCCAUUUCACUUUAAAGUAACCAUAGUAUAUGAGUUUUAUUUGACAAAAAAAAAA